This 430-nucleotide ribosomal RNA is filed under the name Pseudomonadota bacterium. RNAcentral describes it as "Proteobacteria bacterium partial 16S ribosomal RNA". It matches the Rfam family "Bacterial small subunit ribosomal RNA", at positions 355 to 776 of the family's 1533-position model. Lineage: Bacteria; Pseudomonadati; Pseudomonadota. The record is from RNAcentral.
UGGGGAAUAUUGGACAAUGGGGGGAACCCUGAUCCAGCCAUGCCGCGUGUGUGAAGAAGGCCUUAUGGUUGAAAAGCACUUUAAGCGAGGAGGAGGGUACUGGUAUUAAUACUACCAGGUACUGGACGUUACUCGCAGAAUAAGCACCGGCUAACUCUGUGCCAGCAGCCGCGGUAAUACAGAGGGUGCGAGCGUUAAUCGGAUUUACUGGGCGUAAAGCGUGCGUAGGCGGCUAAUUGAGUCGGAUGUGAAAUCCCCGAGCUUAACUUGGGAAUUGCAUUCGAUACUGGUUAGCUAGAGUGUGGGAGAGGAUGGUAGAAUUCCAGGUGUAGCGGAGAAAUGCGUAGAGAUCUGGAGGAAUACCGAUGGCGAAGGCAGCCAUCUGGCCUAACACUGACGCUGAGGUACGAAAGCAUGGGGAGCAAACAGG